RNAcentral lists this ribosomal RNA (380 nucleotides) under uncultured bacterium. Its description in RNAcentral is "bacterial SSU rRNA". It matches the Rfam family "Bacterial small subunit ribosomal RNA", at positions 536 to 916 of the family's 1533-position model. The record is from RNAcentral.
CAGCGUUAUUCGGAUCAYUGGGCKUAAAGGGUCCGUAGGCGGAUUGUUAAGUCAUGGAUGUGAAAUCCCACAGGCUCAACUGUGGCACUGCCUUUGAUACUGGUUAUCUUGAGUUAUAGRGAAGUAGAUAGAAUAUGUAGUGUAGCGGUGAAAUGCAUAGAUAUUACAUAGGAAUACCGAUUGCGAAGGCAGUCUACUACCUAUAUACUGACGCUAAGGGACGAAAGCGUGGGGAGCGAACAGGAUUAGAUACCCUGGUAGUCCACGCCGUAAACGAUGGAUACUAGCUGUUGGGCGUAWGCUCAGUGGCCAAGCGAAAGUGAUAAGUAUCCCACCUGGSGAGUACGUUCGCAAGACUGAAACUCAAAGGCAAUUGACGG